GUGGGGAAUAUUGGUCAAUGGACGAGAGUCUGAACCAGCCAAGUAGCGUGCAGGAUGACGGCCCUAUGGGUUGUAAACUGCUUUUAUAUAGGGAUAAAGUGAUCUACGUGUAGAUUUUUGUAGGUACUAUAUGAAUAAGGACCGGCUAAUUCCGUGCCAGCAGCCGCGGUAAUACGGAAGGUCCAGGCGUUAUCCGGAUUUAUUGGGUUUAAAGGGAGCGCAGGCUGAUGAUUAAGCGUGACGUGAAAUGUAGCCGCUCAACGGCUGAACUGCGUCGCGAACUGGUUAUCUUGAGUGAGUUCGAUGUUGGCGGAAUUCGUGGUGUAGCGGUGAAAUGCUUAGAUAUCACGAAGAACUCCGAUUGCGAAGGCAGCCAACAAGGCCUUUACUGACGCUAAAGCUCGAAGGUGCGGGUAUCGAACAGG
Molecule: ribosomal RNA, 425 nt
Filed under: uncultured rumen bacterium
Lineage: Bacteria
Description: bacterial SSU rRNA
Rfam family: Bacterial small subunit ribosomal RNA
Source: RNAcentral